GGGGAAUUUUGGACAAUGGGCGCAAGCCUGAUCCAGCCAUGCCGCGUGUCUGAAGAAGGCCUUCGGGUUGUAAAGGACUUUUGUCAGGGAAGAAAAGGCUGUUGCUAAUACCAGCGGCUGAUGACGGUACCUGAAGAAUAAGCACCGGCUAACUACGUGCCAGCAGCCGCGGUAAUACGUAGGGUGCGAGCGUUAAUCGGAAUUACUGGGCGUAAAGCGGGCGCAGACGGUUACUUAAGCAGGAUGUGAAAUCCCCGGGCUCAACCCGGGAACUGCGUUCUGAACUGGGUGACUCGAGUGUGUCAGAGGGAAGUAGAAUUCCACGUGUAGCAGUGAAAUGCGUAGAGAUGUGGAGGAAUACCGAUGGCGAAGGCAGCCUCCUGGGAUAACACUGACGUUCAUGCCCGAAAGCGUGGGUAGCAAACAGGAUUAGAUACCCUGGUAGUCCACGCCCUAAACGAUGUCAAUUAGCUGUUGGGCAACCUGAUUGCUUAGUAGCGUAGCUAACGCGUGAAAUUGACCGCCUGGGGAGUACGGUCGCAAGAUUA
Molecule: ribosomal RNA, 548 nt
Filed under: uncultured bacterium
Lineage: Bacteria
Description: bacterial SSU rRNA
Rfam family: Bacterial small subunit ribosomal RNA
Source: RNAcentral